This 1302-nucleotide ribosomal RNA is filed under the name Microbacterium esteraromaticum. Its description in RNAcentral is "bacterial SSU rRNA". It matches the Rfam family "Bacterial small subunit ribosomal RNA", at positions 86 to 1398 of the family's 1533-position model. The record is from RNAcentral. Lineage: Bacteria; Bacillati; Actinomycetota; Actinomycetes; Micrococcales; Microbacteriaceae.
GGUGGAUUAGUGGCGAACGGGUGAGUAACACGUGAGCAACCUGCCCCUGACUCUGGGAUAAGCGCUGGAAACGGCGUCUAAUACUGGAUAUGUCCCAUCACCGCAUGGUGUGUGGGUGGAAAGAUUUUUCGGUUGGGGAUGGGCUCGCGGCCUAUCAGCUUGUUGGUGAGGUAAUGGCUCACCAAGGCGUCGACGGGUAGCCGGCCUGAGAGGGUGACCGGCCACACUGGGACUGAGACACGGCCCAGACUCCUACGGGAGGCAGCAGUGGGGAAUAUUGCACAAUGGGCGGAAGCCUGAUGCAGCAACGCCGCGUGAGGGAUGACGGCCUUCGGGUUGUAAACCUCUUUUAGCAGGGAAGAAGCGAGAGUGACGGUACCUGCAGAAAAAGCACCGGCUAACUACGUGCCAGCAGCCGCGGUAAUACGUAGGGUGCAAGCGUUAUCCGGAAUUAUUGGGCGUAAAGAGCUCGUAGGCGGUCUGUCGCGUCUGCUGUGAAAUUCCGAGGCUCAACCUCGGGCUUGCAGUGGGUACGGGCAGACUAGAGUGCGGUAGGGGAGAUUGGAAUUCCUGGUGUAGCGGUGGAAUGCGCAGAUAUCAGGAGGAACACCGAUGGCGAAGGCAGAUCUCUGGGCCGUAACUGACGCUGAGGAGCGAAAGGGUGGGGAGCAAACAGGCUUUAGAUACCCUGGUAGUCCACCCCGUAAACGUUGGGAACUAGUUGUGGGGUCCUUUCCACGGAUUCCGUGACGCAGCUAACGCAUUAAGUUCCCCGCCUGGGGAGUACGGCCGCAAGGCUAAAACUCAAAGGAAUUGACGGGGACCCGCACAAGCGGCGGAGCAUGCGGAUUAAUUCGAUGCAACGCGAAGAACCUUACCAAGGCUUGACAUACACGAGAACGGGCCAGAAAUGGUCAACUCUUUGGACACUCGUGAACAGGUGGUGCAUGGUUGUCGUCAGCUCGUGUCGUGAGAUGUUGGGUUAAGUCCCGCAACGAGCGCAACCCUCGUUCUAUGUUGCCAGCACGUAAUGGUGGGAACUCAUGGGAUACUGCCGGGGUCAACUCGGAGGAAGGUGGGGAUGACGUCAAAUCAUCAUGCCCCUUAUGUCUUGGGCUUCACGCAUGCUACAAUGGCCGGUACAAUGGGCUGCAAUACCGUGAGGUGGAGCGAAUCCCAAAAAGCCGGUCCCAGUUCGGAUUGAGGUCUGCAACUCGACCUCAUGAAGUCGGAGUCGCUAGUAAUCGCAGAUCAGCAACGCUGCGGUGAAUACGUUCCCGGGUCUUGUACACACCGCCCGUC